AUGUCUCAGACUAAGCCAUGCACGUCUAGUACAAACUAAAUGAUGGUGAAACUGCAAAUGGCUCAUUACAACGGUUAUGAUGUACCCGGGAGUUCCGAUGGAUAUUUCCAGUAACACUAGAACUAAUACAUGUCCCUGCGUUUAUUAGUUUCGCACAGUCCGUCGCUGAGUCAUGGUAAACAGUUGAUCGACUCGACGUCCCGGAACAGUUUCCGCCCCAUCAGCUUCGAUGGUUGGGUAUUGGCCUACCAUUGCAACAACGGGUAACGAGGAAUUAGGGUUUGAUUUCGGAGAGGGAGCCUGAGAAACGGCUACCACAUCUACGGAUGGCAGCAGGCGCGCAAAUUACCCAAUGCAGACACUGUGAGGUAGUGACGAGAAAUAAUAAAGCGGGACUUCUGUUUCGCUAUUAUAAUGAGGAAUAACCAAAGGUCAUUCCGAUUAGCAACUGAUGGGAAAGUCUGGUGCCAGCAGCCGCGGUAAUACCAGCGUCAGUAGCA
Molecule: ribosomal RNA, 500 nt
Filed under: uncultured Myrionecta
Lineage: Eukaryota; Ciliophora; Litostomatea; Cyclotrichida; Mesodiniidae
Description: SSU rRNA
Rfam family: Eukaryotic small subunit ribosomal RNA
Source: RNAcentral